AGUGGCGGACGGGUGAGUAACACGUAAGAAUCUGCCUUUAGGAGGGGGACAACAACUGGAAACGGUUGCUAAUACCCCAUAUGCUUUCGAGUGAAACGGAUUUAUCCGCCUAGAGAGGAGCUUGCGGCUGAUUAGCUUGUUGGUGAGGUAAUGGCUCACCAAGGCGACGAUCAGUAUCUGGUUUGAGAGGACGAUCAGACACACUGGAACUGAGACACGGUCCAGACUCCUACGGGAGGCAGCAGUGGGGAAUUUUCCGCAAUGGGCGAAAGCCUGACGGAGCAAUACCGCGUGAGGGAUGACGGCCUAUGGGUUGUAAACCUCUUUUUUCAGGGAGGAAUAAAAUGACGGUACCUGAAGAAUAAGCAUCGGCUAACUCCGUGCCAGCAGCCGCGGUAAGACGGAGGAUGCAAGUGUUAUCCGGAAUCACUGGGCGUAAAGCGUCUGUAGGUGGUCCAAUAAGUCAACUGUUAAAUCUUGAGGCUCAACCUCAAAAUCGCAGUCGAAACUAUUAGACUAGAGUAUAGUAGGGGUAAAGGGAAUUUCCAGUGGAGCGGUGAAAUGCGUAGAGAUUGGAAAGAACACCGAUGGCGAAAGCACUUUACUGGGCUAUUACUAACACUCAGAGACGACAGCUAGGGUAGCAAAUGGGAUUAGAUACCCCAGUAGUCCUAGUGA
This 678-nucleotide ribosomal RNA is filed under the name uncultured bacterium. RNAcentral describes it as "bacterial SSU rRNA". It matches the Rfam family "Bacterial small subunit ribosomal RNA", at positions 94 to 802 of the family's 1533-position model. The record is from RNAcentral.